Molecule: ribosomal RNA, 385 nt
Filed under: uncultured bacterium
Lineage: Bacteria
Description: bacterial SSU rRNA
Rfam family: Bacterial small subunit ribosomal RNA
Source: RNAcentral
AUUGAACGCUGGCGGCAUGCCUUACACAUGCAAGUCGAACGGCAGCGGACCUUCGGGUGCCGGCGAGUGGCGAACGGGUGAGUAAAGUAUCGGAACGUACCUUUCAGUGGGGGAUAACUGUCCGAAAGGACAGCUAAUACCGCAUAUUCUGUGAGCAGGAAAGCAGGGGAUCGCAAGACCUUGCGCUGAUUGAGCGGCCGAUAUCAGAUUAGCUAGUUGGUGAGGUAAAGGCUCACCAAGGCGACGAUCUGUAGCGGGUCUGAGAGGAUGAUCCGCCACACUGGAACUGAGACACGGUCCAGACUCCUACGGGAGGCAGCAGUGGGGAAUUUUGGACAAUGGGGGCAACCCUGAUCCAGCCAUGCCGCGUGAGUGAAGAAGGCCU